RNAcentral lists this ribosomal RNA (250 nucleotides) under uncultured prokaryote. RNAcentral's name for it is "partial 16S ribosomal RNA". It matches the Rfam family "Bacterial small subunit ribosomal RNA", at positions 524 to 773 of the family's 1533-position model. The record is from RNAcentral.
UACGUAGGUGGCGAGCGUUGUCCGGAUUUACUGGGUGUAAAGGGCGCGUAGGCGGGAUAGCAAGUCAGGUGUGAAAUCUCCGGGCUCAACCCGGAAACUGCACUUGAAACUGUUGUUCUUGAGUGUCGGAGAGGUAGAUGGAAUUCCUAGUGUAGCGGUGAAAUGCGUAGAUAUUAGGAGGAACACCAGUGGCGAAGGCGAUCUACUGGACGAUAACUGACGCUGAUGCGCGAAAGCGUGGGGAGCAAAC